Non-coding RNA from Caenorhabditis elegans, 91 nucleotides. Lineage: Eukaryota; Metazoa; Nematoda; Chromadorea; Rhabditida; Rhabditidae. The record is from Ensembl.
AUUGGUUUCAAAAAGCAGUCGGGCUCUUAACUCUGCUACAAACGGCAAACACGGCGCCGAUGAUAACUGCCAUUUGAUGUAAGAUGAUAAA